AGAUUGAACGCUGGCGGCAUGCCUUACACAUGCAAGUCGAACGGCAGCACGGGGGGCAACCCUGGUGGCGAGUGGCGAACGGGUGAGUAAUACAUCGGAACGUAUCCUGUAGCGGGGGAUAACCUCUCGAAAGAGAGGCUAAUACCGCAUACGACCUACGGGUGAAAGAGGGGGAUCGCAAGACCUCUCACUAUUGGAGCGGCCGAUGUCGGAUUAGCUAGUUGGUAGGGUAAAAGCCUACCAAGGCUACGAUCCGUAGCUGGUCUGAGAGGACGACCAGCCACACUGGAACUGAGACACGGUCCAGACUCCUACGGGAGGCAGCAGUGGGAAUUUGGACAAUGGGCGCAAGCCUGAUCCAGCCAUGCCGCGUGAGUGAAGAAGGCCUUCGGUGUAAGCUCUUCGUCGGAAGAAAGGUCGCGCUAACACCGCGACUCAUGACGGUACCGGCGAUAAGAAGCGACCGGACCUAACUACGUCGCCACGCAGCCGCGUAA
RNAcentral lists this ribosomal RNA (497 nucleotides) under uncultured soil bacterium. RNAcentral's name for it is "bacterial SSU rRNA". It matches the Rfam family "Bacterial small subunit ribosomal RNA", at positions 26 to 522 of the family's 1533-position model. The record is from RNAcentral.